This 449-nucleotide ribosomal RNA is filed under the name uncultured bacterium. RNAcentral's name for it is "partial 16S ribosomal RNA". It matches the Rfam family "Bacterial small subunit ribosomal RNA", at positions 29 to 523 of the family's 1533-position model. The record is from RNAcentral.
AACGAACGCUGGCGGCAUGCCUAACACAUGCAAGUCGAACGAGACCUUCGGGUCUAGUGGCGCACGGGUGCGUAACGCGUGGGAAUCUACCCUUGGGUUCGGAAUAACAGUUAGAAAUGACUGCUGAUACCGGAUGAUGACGUAAGUCCAAAGAUUUUUCGCCCAAGGAUGAGCCCGCGUAAGAUUAGCUUGUUGGUGGGGUAAUGGCCUACCAAGGCGACGAUCUUUAGCUGGUCUGAGAGGAUGAUCAGCCACACUGGGACUGAGACACGGCCCAGACUCCUACGGGAGGCAGCAGUGGGGAAUAUUGGACAAUGGGCGAAAGCCUUAUCCAGCAAUGCCGCGUGAGUGAUGAAGGCCUUAGGGUUGUAAAGCUCUUUUACCAAGGAUGAUAAUGACAGUACCUGGAGAAUAAGCUCCGGCUAACUCCGUGCCAGCCGCCGCGGUAA